GAAAAAGUAAUGAUAAGGACACAAGAUGAUUUUUACGGUUUGCAGAGAGGGAAGUCUAAGGCUGUGAGCUUCCUAACACGAGAAAUGAUCUUACCACCUUUGAACUUCAAUAGUGAACGAGAAAUCUAGUAAUUAUUGGCGGUCUCAGCCGUUAUCUGAACUUGAGCAAUCUAGAAAGAAAACGUGCCUAGAUUGGAACAAGGGUGGAACCACGAAAACACAUUCGUCCCUUUA
This 234-nucleotide non-coding RNA is filed under the name Bacillus cereus. RNAcentral's name for it is "T-box sequence". It matches the Rfam family "T-box leader". Rfam says of the family: Uncharged tRNA acts as the effector for transcription antitermination of genes in the T-box leader family. T-boxes are found upstream of many aminoacyl-tRNA synthetase genes and some amino acid biosynthetic genes usually in Gram-positive bacteria. Lineage: Bacteria; Bacillati; Bacillota; Bacilli; Caryophanales; Bacillaceae. The record is from RNAcentral.